This 500-nucleotide ribosomal RNA is filed under the name uncultured bacterium. Its description in RNAcentral is "partial 16S ribosomal RNA". It matches the Rfam family "Bacterial small subunit ribosomal RNA", at positions 30 to 523 of the family's 1533-position model. The record is from RNAcentral.
AUUGAACGCUGGCGGCAUGCCUUACACAUGCAAGUCGAACGGCAGCACGGGGGCAACCCUGGUGGCGAGUGGCGAACGGGUGAGUAAUAUAUCGGAACGUGCCCUAGAGUGGGGGAUAACGUCGCGAACGUUACGCUAAUACCGCAUACGAUCUAGGGAUGAAAGUGGGGGAUUGCAAGACCUCAUGCUCAUGGAGCGGCCGAUAUCUGAUUAGCUAGUUGGUGGGGUAAAGGCCUACCAAGGCGACGAUCAGUAGCUGGUCUGAGAGGACGAUCAGCCACACUGGAACUGAGACACGGUCCAGACUCCUACGGGAGGCAGCAGUGGGGAAUUUUGGACAAUGGGGGCAACCCUGAUCCAGCAAUGCCGCGUGAGUGAAGAAGGCCUUCGGGUUGUAAAGCUCUUUUGUCAGGGAAGAAACGGUGAGUGCUAAUAUCGCUUGCUAAUGACGGUACCUGAAGAAUAAGCACCGGCUAACUACGUGCCAGCAGCCGCCGUAA